UGUGUGACCCGCCUGAAAACUAUGUUCUGUUAUCAGUAUUUUGUGCCGUCACAAUUCAGUUAGCAGCAUGCAUGUUCAAUUGUUGGUGUCUUUGUUAAGUUUGAGUAGAAAAGCUCAAUCUAGCAUGCUCUUGGCUCUGUUUUACUUUCCAUGAUUCGUUGAUUAUCUAUGCAGUUUCUGCACGAUUACUAUGAGUACGUGCUUUCAUAUAUUGUUUACUCGAUGACUUGAAUAGUUUACAACGUAUGAUUAUUGCUUAGGACCCUGCACUACUAAAUCAGGGGACUCGCUUGAGUCAGAAAAACUUAGGAACCAAGUUUUCUCUCUAAGUUACUGACUUCAUUUUCUACUGUUUAUAGAUUGCGAACUGUACUUAAAUCAAAUACUUCACUAUUGGUCUCUAGAGAGGAAGCUCUGCCAACCAUUACUAAUAACUGAGAAGGUAUGGAGACACCUUUGUUUUGCUGUAAUUUUAAACAAAUAAGUAUCCUGAUGAUAUUGAUGUUUUGGUAGAUCAUCCGAUAUUCUCUACUACUCUAUAUGACCAUAUGCACUUGACAUUCAGAAAAUUGGUUUGAGAUUCUCAAAAGUUGCAUUCUUGGCUCACUUAGUUACAUUCUCAAAAGUAGUGUUUUUAUUGUUUUGUUUUUACAUUCUGUCCACAUGUAUUCUACAUUUUAUAAACUAAUUUGUCUUUCAGCUAGGUCCUGGUGCUUCAAUUUGGUUAUUAGAUUUAAAAAAUCUUACAUAGAGUCGAUUGGUAAAGCCUUUCAUACUAACAACAGCCUUCUAUCACUUAUUUCAAUAACUUGUUUAAUAUUUUAUAUCACUUAUUUCAAUAACUGGUUAUUAUAUUCUCCAAAAAUAAUAAAUAGAAUUCAACAUCUUAGUCAGUUUGGUGAUAUAUAUCUGGAAGAAUAUUUUAUCAAAUAUCUGAAAUCUGGUAUUCAUGUUUGAGUAUUUGACAUGAAAAAAAUACUGUCAAUUUUACUGAGAAACAGAAUUGUUCACUUUAUAGGAUUUGGCAAUCGCUUAUCUUUGACUCAAUACCUUAUGACCUUGGAAAGGUUUGAACCCGUCAGGGACUAAAGAUGCCAAAGGUAUACUGUUUGCCUUCUCAUUCUACUAUGCUAUAAUAUUUCUCCUCUACUGUUUUUACCCUACGAACUGUGUUGCUCAUUUUAUUCUACACUACAUCUACUUAAACUCAAUUGUUCAGUGUCAUAGCUUUGCUGGAAGCCACAUGGCAUAUUACUUACAUGCCUUCUUAGAGUCUUUUAGUUAUUUCUGUAAUCUGUAUUUUAGGAAUCAUAAUUAAUGUUGUUUUAUAACAAUAAAUUUAUAUUGUUGUUUUUUAGUCAGAAAAAAAUGUUUGUCAUUUGGUCAAUUAGCUAGCGACAUGAUAUUAAGUGUUGUAGCGUGGUCAAGGGUUAGCUAUGUCUAUGUGCCAUGUGUUAAAAGUAUUAGGCUACAAAAAUCCGAAAUUUCUUGAUAAAAGCAAAAAAUAGUAGGACAAUUGAAAAUUUAAAUUAGUAUCGUUGUUACAAGUUUACCCAACUUUGAGUAUAAGAGAGCACAGUUCAGCCCCUCGUCUAUCACUUGUAUGUAAGGUGAACUGUUUUGUUUUUCUACAGCCCAACCAAUGUGCCUCUAAGCAUAUUCCCAACAGGUUAAAAAUAAAAUUAAACUGCAAAACACCCUUUUAAAUUCUUAUAGAUUUGCGACAUAUCGUGAAUGCAUUAGUCAGUGUGGUACCAGGCUUUAACAUAUUGAAAAACGUAUACAUAUUUUUCCCCUAGCACAUUUUGUACACAUGUUUGUCAGGUUGAAGAAGGGUCACGAGCAAAGAGGGCAUUUACUAUCCUUU
Molecule: long non-coding RNA, 1867 nt
Filed under: Zea mays
Lineage: Eukaryota; Viridiplantae; Streptophyta; Magnoliopsida; Poales; Poaceae
Description: long non-coding RNA (ZMAY_LNC000559)
Source: RNAcentral